CAAGAGCAUGUGGUGGAUGCCUUGGCGAUGAUAGGCGACGAAGGACGUGUAAGCCUGCGAAAAGCGUGGGGGAGCUGGCAAUAAAGCUAUGAUCCCGCGAUGUCCGAAUGGGGAAACCCACUGCAUUCUGUGCAGUAUCCUAAGUUGAAUACAUAGACUUAGAGAAGCGAACCCGGAGAACUGAACCAUCUAAGUACCCGGAGGAAAAGAAAUCAACCGAG
Molecule: ribosomal RNA, 221 nt
Filed under: Thalassiosira minuscula
Lineage: Eukaryota; Bacillariophyta; Thalassiosirophyceae; Thalassiosirales; Thalassiosiraceae
Description: partial Bacterial large subunit ribosomal RNA
Rfam family: Bacterial large subunit ribosomal RNA
Source: RNAcentral